RNAcentral lists this ribosomal RNA (440 nucleotides) under uncultured bacterium. RNAcentral describes it as "partial 16S ribosomal RNA". It matches the Rfam family "Bacterial small subunit ribosomal RNA", at positions 338 to 795 of the family's 1533-position model. The record is from RNAcentral.
CCUACGGGUGGCAGCAGUAGGGAAUAUUGCACAAUGGGGGAAACCCUGAAGCAGCAACGCCGCGUGGAGGAUGAAGGUUUUCGGAUUGUAAACCCCUUUCGUCAGGGAAGAAAAUGACGGUACCUAACGAAUAAGCCCCGGCUAACUCCGUGCCAGCAGCCGCGGUAAUACGGAGGGUGCAAGCGUUAUCCGGAUUCACUGGGGGUAAAGGGGGCGUAGGCGGGAACGCAAGUCAGAAGUGAAAUCCUAGGGCUUAACCAUAGAACUGCGUUUGAAACUGUAAUUCUGGAGUACGGGAGAGGUAGGUGGAAUUCUUGGUGUAGCGGUGAAAUGCGUAGAGAUCAGGAGGAAUACUGGUUGCGAAGGCGGCCUGCUGGAACGUAACUGACGCUGAGGCUCGAAGGCGUGGGGAGCAAACAGGAUUAGAUACCCGAGUAGUC